Non-coding RNA from Drosophila melanogaster (fruit fly), 743 nucleotides. Lineage: Eukaryota; Metazoa; Arthropoda; Insecta; Diptera; Drosophilidae. The record is from Ensembl.
CCAGCCUCCAAUUGAGAAUACAUGCCAGGGUCGUGCUCCAAGUGGAAUAGGACUGGAGCACUAACCAGACUGAAAGUAACAUCUAGCGGCAGUUGGGGGCACUGAAAAGGUUCGGCAUCCAAGCAAGCCUGCCAAGCGAGCGCCAAAUGUUUGCCAAAGCGGUAAGCAUGUCGCUGCAGUUCCUCACUCUGUCCGGCCAGCUUUAGCGAAGCUUGGCAGGAUUUGCCCAGCAGGCUACCCGCAUUAAGGAUAUUACGGCACUCCCAUUCCUCCUCCGGAUUGCCGAGAACCUGGGCAAUCGGCAUUGGCGUCAUCACGUCGUGCUCGUUGAAAUCCACUCCAACGCUGAGAGAUGGUCGCUGGAAGGUUCCUGGCUUAUAAGGCAGCGGGUUGUUCUGUUCAUCACGCUCUCCAAUGAAUUCCGACUCGGAAAAAUCUCGCACCGCCGACGAGAUCAGCUCCACCACCUCCUGGUUGCGCAGAUUAGCCAGCUCCGCACUGGAAUGGCCCAGAAGAUAGUCGCCGGUCAGCAGGCCGAUCUUGUUGCCAAACGACAUGUCGUCGUAGGUGUCCACAUCCUGCCCAGCCUGCGUGCUCGAUUGCAGAUUAACCACGCUCUAAAAUGGGACCAAGUGUAAAUAUUUUUAUAAUCUAUGAGGCAUCAGCUCGACCAAUGACAUAUUGAUGUUCGUUUCUUGAGUUUCGUCAACUAAAUUUGAGGAAAGUUAAACUCAUUUGCAUAC